AAUUUUUGUGAAUGUGCCAUGUGGUGCUGAGAAGAAGGUGUAUUCCUUUUUUAUCCCUAUUUAUUUUUUCUCCAUAUGUCUAUUAAUUCUAAUUUUUCUAAGAUUUCAUUCACUUCUUUUACCUCUUUCUUAUUUAUUUUUUGAUUCGAUUUAUCUAAAUUUGAUAAUGGUUGGUUUAAGUCUCCCACUAGUAUGGUUUUAUUGUCUAUUUCUUCCUUCAAUUCUCCUAGUUUCUCCAUUAGAAAUUUGGGUGCUAUAUUAUUUGGUGCAUACAUGUUGAUUAAUGAUAUUUCCUCAUUGUCUAGAGUCCCUUUUAACAAAAUAUAAUUACCUUCCCUAUCCCUUUUGAUCAGGUCUAUUUUUGCAUUGGCUUUAUCAGAUAUCAUGAUUACCACUCCUGCCUUCUUUCUAUCAGUUGAGGCCCAGACCAUAUGUCUAUUAAUUCUAAUUUUUCUAAGAUUUCAUUCACUUCUUUUACCUCUUUCUUAUUUAUUUUUUGAUUCGAUUUAUCUAAAUUUGAUAAUGGUUGGUUUAAGUCUCCCACUAGUAUGGUUUUAUUGUCUAUUUCUUCCUUCAAUUCUCCUAGUUUCUCCAUUAGAAAUUUGGGUGCUAUAUUAUUUGGUGCAUACAUGUUGAUUAAUGAUAUUUCCUCAUUGUCUAGAGUCCCUUUUAACAAAAUAUAAUUACCUUCCCUAUCCCUUUUGAUCAGGUCUAUUUUUGCAUUGGCUUUAUCAGAUAUCAUGAUUACCACUCCUGCCUUCUUUCUAUCAGUUGAGGCCCAGAAGGUCUUACUCCAUCCUUUAAUUCUGACCUUGUGGGUGUCAACCCGCCUCAUGUGUGUUUCUUGAAGACAACAUAUGGUAGGGUUUUGGAUUCUAAUCCAUUCUGCUAUUCGUCUACGUUUUAUGGGUGAGUUCAUCCCAUUCACGUUCAAAGUUAUGAUUGUCAUUUGUGGACUCCCUGGCAUUUUGAUUGCCUUCCCUAAUUCUAACCUUUUCUUCUUCGGCUCUACCUUUUAGUCCAGUGAUUUACUUUGAAUCAGUCCCCCUUGUCCCCUCCCUUGAUGUUUCCCUUUUUAGUCCCUCCCUUUUUGUUCCCUCCCCCUCCCCCCUCUCUUUCCCUCCCUUUUUGUUCUCCCUCUCCCCCU
RNAcentral lists this long non-coding RNA (1147 nucleotides) under Monodelphis domestica (gray short-tailed opossum). Its description in RNAcentral is "lncRNA (ENSMODG00000043979.1)". The record is from RNAcentral. Lineage: Eukaryota; Metazoa; Chordata; Mammalia; Didelphimorphia; Didelphidae.